GGGCCCGCACAAGCGGUGGAGCAUGUGGUUUAAUUCGAUGAUACGCGAGGAACCUUACCAGGGCUUAAAUGUAGUGGGACAGGUCUAGAGAUAGACCCUUCUUCGGAGCAGAUUACAAGGUGCUGCAUGGUUGUCGUCAGCUCGUGCCGUGAGGUGUUAGGUUAAGUCCUGCAACGAGCGCAACCCCUAUCGUUAGUUGCCAGCGGGUCAUGCCGGGAACUCUAGCGAAACUGCCGGUGCAAACCGAGAGGAAGGUGGGGAUGACGUCAAAUCAUCACGGCCCUUACGUCCUGGCCACACACGUGCUACAAUGGCCGGUACAGAGAGCAGCCACUACGCGAGUAGGAGCG
RNAcentral lists this ribosomal RNA (350 nucleotides) under uncultured bacterium. RNAcentral's name for it is "bacterial SSU rRNA". It matches the Rfam family "Bacterial small subunit ribosomal RNA", at positions 917 to 1269 of the family's 1533-position model. The record is from RNAcentral.